UACGAAGGGGGCUAGCGUUGUUCGGAAUUACUGGGCGUAAAGGGCGCGUAGGCGGUGUGUCAAGUCAGGCGUGAAAGCCCCGGGCUCAACCUGGGAACCGCGCUUGAGACUGGCACGCUAGAGUUCGGGAGAGGAUGGUGGAAUUCCCAGUGUAGAGGUGAAAUUCGUAGAUAUUGGGAAGAACACCGAUGGCGAAGGCAGCCCAUCUGG
This 210-nucleotide ribosomal RNA is filed under the name uncultured bacterium. RNAcentral's name for it is "partial 16S ribosomal RNA". It matches the Rfam family "Bacterial small subunit ribosomal RNA", at positions 524 to 732 of the family's 1533-position model. The record is from RNAcentral.